Non-coding RNA from Macaca mulatta (Rhesus monkey), 1648 nucleotides. NCBI's taxonomy places the organism in Eukaryota, Metazoa, Chordata, Mammalia, Primates, Cercopithecidae. The record is from RefSeq and is a predicted model, not a curated record.
GUUUAGGAAGUUGCAGACAAGCCUCUCUGAGGCUUUCUUCCGUUUUCCAGGGGACUGUCCUCAGAACGUCACACUCUGCCGUUUUGUCUCUUAAUGCGCACGCUCAGGAAGCUGUGUCUCCGUGGUGCCUGCAUUCAAUUAACAUUUUAGUACAGCACUUGUGAAUCUUCCGAAAAUGGCCUCUCCCUGGCACCGGCUGCGAAUUUAUCACUUUUAAAGAGGCAAUGUGCAAUUACUCGUGACUGAAAAAUGCAGGAGAAAAUUUCAUGGAAACAGCCUACCAUCACAAUGAAGCACCUUUCCAACACUUAUCGUCGUAAAUGCUACUCUUGGAAUAAGUCGUUUCUUUUGAUAAGACUUUGAACGUGGUUCAAUAAAUGAGAGAGAAUUCAUGCAAAAAUGUACGUCGUUGAAAAGGUUGACUUGGAAUUAUGCUCAUGAUUGGUGGAGAGAUUCAUAUCCAUGAUGUCAUACUCAUUUGACCCUGUUGCCAUUCCUCGACUGGAGGAACUAGAGCAGGAGAACAUGCUUGCACCUCACUGAUGCAGGACCUGCUUCCUUCAGCCCAUGAUGUAUGGAGCAGCCUUUCAGACAACUCCAGGAGAAGAAAGGUGUGAGACUGGAAGCUAUAAACAUAGUUGCUGGCUGUUGAUCAGAUUAGUUUAAAAGUGAAGAAGACCUGAGCUAAUAUGAAGAUGAAAAUUGAGCGCAACACAAAACCAACAAAUACAUCAAGGAAAUGAUGGAAGAAUCACAAAGGACUGAAGAUUGACAAAUGUUGAGGCUGGAAGAAAUUCUAUUUUGGGGUGUGUUUGGGCAUUAAAUACAAAGUUUUAAAAAAAUAUGGAAAGGUGUCUGGAAAUGUGAUACUAAGGAGAUGAUGACAAUGAAGAAUUUUAGAAGAUCAACAGGAGCUUCAUUGUUCACCUGGAGAAGAAUUCCAAGCAAUCAGAACAGGCUGUGCAAGCCAUGGGCUUCUGGAAUCACAUGGCAGGUCUGUUCACCGACAGCAUUUCAGUGUUACUGAGGCAUCAACCACAAGGCAUGGUGUGGCAGGGGAAGGAACAGAUUUUUUAAUGGACAGAGAGACAGAGUUGGAAAAGAAAAUAAAAUGGAAAAGAAAACAGAUUUUGAAGCCAGAAUUCCAGCCUAGCACAUUUUAGAUUCAUCUUCAAGAAGAGUCACUUAACCUUCCUGAAUCUUCAGUUCUUCAUGUGGAAAAUGAAGUAGAGCUUGUCUACCUCUCAGCAUAAUCAGGAUGAUCAAAGAAGGGACCAGGUGAGCAAAUUCAUUUCAGACUCCAAAGCCCUGUGCAUGUGUUCGCUCUCAUCACUACUAUUGUUGGUUAUGUGCAGUGCGCACACAGAAAACUCUGGGCCUAGAAAAAUGGUUUCUGAAGCUAGAAAAUAUCUAACUCCACUUCAAUUUAGUAUUUGCUGUUUUGUUGAUAUUGUUGCUGAAUCAUGGUAAAAUCAUUUCUGAAUGUACUUUGAUGAAUUAUAAUCAUGAGAUUGUAAUGACCAAAUAGUACUUGUUUCUGUCACUAAAUACCUAACGCAAAAUUAUGUUACAUAAUUAAGCAUAUUCUGGGAUUAGGUUAAAAAAACUAAUUUACUAGAAAUUGAAUUUCACCAUUGUGUUCUGAAAA